GAAAUGCGUAGAUAUCGGUACGCAUAGCAGUGCGAUGCGGCCUACUAGACGGAUACUGACGCUGAGCGCGAAGCUAGGCGAGCAACAUGAUUAGAUAUCCCCGGUAGUCCUAGCUGUAACGAUGUCGACUUGGUGUGAGCCGGUUUUCGGUUCGUGCCGUAGUUCACGCGAUAAGUCGACCGCUGGGGAGUACGGUCGCAAGGCUGAAACUCACAGGAAUUGACGGGGGCCCGCACAAGCGGUGGAGCAUGUGGUUCAAUUCGAUGCAACGCGAAGAACCUUACCGGGGUUUGAACUGUGUCUGAAAUCUCCAGAGAUGGAGCUCUCUAGCAAUAGACAGAUAUAGAGGUGCUGCAUGGCUGUCGUCAGCUCGUGUCGUGAGAUGUUGGGUUAAGUCCCGCAACGAGCGCAACCCUUGCUUUUAGUUGCUCACUCGUAAGAGUAGCACUCUAAAAAGGACUGCUGGUGAUAAACCGGAGGAAGGUGGGGAUGACGUCAAGUCAUCAUGGCCUUUAUGCCCCGGGCUACACACGUGCUACAAUGGCUGGUACAAAGGGUCGCUAAGCCGCAAGGUGGAGCCAAUCCCAUCAAAACCAGCCUCAGUUCGGAUUGCACUCUGCAACUCGAGUGCAUGAAGUUGGAAUCGCUAGUAAUCGCGGAUCAGCAUGCCGCGGUGAAUACGUUUCCGGGCCUUGUACACACCGCCCGUCACACCACGAAAGUGGAUUGUACCCGAAGCCGUCGUGCUAACCCUUUGGGAGGCAGACGCCCAAGGUAUGAUUCAUGAUUGGGGUGAAGUCGUAACAAGGUAACCA
This 815-nucleotide ribosomal RNA is filed under the name uncultured soil bacterium. RNAcentral describes it as "SSU rRNA". It matches the Rfam family "Bacterial small subunit ribosomal RNA", at positions 683 to 1502 of the family's 1533-position model. The record is from RNAcentral.